UGCUAAAUUCUGCUGCUGACUGUGAGAAAAAAAAUUACAAAUUAAAAUAACUGAAAUUGAAAAUGGAAAAUGCGGAGCAUAAAAAACACAAUUUAUUGGUCCACAUACUUCUACCACCCACUACACACUGUGUUAACCUAGCAGUUUAGAGACGUAUUGUAAAUUACCAUGGCGACAGACCCCGGGUAAAACCUAUCCACCUUUCGUAGUACAGGUUAACCGGCAAGUUACACCUGACGUCACCAAGUUACUCCUGAAGUUACCCUGAUAAGCCAGUAACCUCACAGGCCUCAAUACUCUGCAACAGAUCCACAGCACAGGGGACACAACGAAAGCACUAACAAAACAUUAUCUGUCCUUUCUCCUCAGAUGACUGCUAGACCAAACCUCAACGUCACCAAGUGUCAUCUGCUCUGAAGAGACAGGAUUAACAGGAGGAGACUGGCAGUGUCGUCACAACCACACUACCAAUCAGCGUUUCGUCUGCCGGCGUCGCUGGCGUCUGUCGUCAUCGAGCGUCACUCAUUGACAGCAGAACACAAUGGUGGAGAAACAAACUCUGAAAAUACACAGACAACAAACAACUUGCGAGUCGUCACUUUGUUUACUCGACUACUCUGGAUGUUAAAACAACCUCUCCACGUGUUUCUGUCCAACACUGUGGCUGGACUCAACAUCAAGAUGAUAGUGACGUGGAGAACACAGAAGAUGUUGCUGAGAUGUUACAUGAUAAACAAGACAUGCUGCCGUCACUGAUCAGACCGGAUCGGAAACACUUCGCUUUGUCACAAUCAUCAUUACUCAACUUGUCUGGAUGCUCAACACCAAGAUCAACCAACAGGAAAAACAGGAGCCACUGAGGGUGAAGGUAGGAACACAUUUUAUUUCUUUAGAGUACAUCAGGACAAACAGGUAAUAGAUCGAUAAUGGUUGUUGCUUUGAUUAGUAGAGUAGUAGAUUAAUUGACUGAGUGGUAGGGUAGUUGAUUGGUAGAGUGAUAGAUUAGUAGGUUGAUUAAUUAGUAGAGCAGGAGAGUGACAGAUUAGUAGUUAGAUUGAGUAGUAGAUUGCUUAUUGUAGUAGGAGAGUGAUUGAUUAGUAGGUAGAUUGAGUAGGAGAGAUUGAUUAGGACAGUGAGUAGUAGAUUGAUUAGUGUAGUAGGAGAGUAGUUGAUUAGUAGGUAGACUGAGUAGUAGAUUGAUUGAUUAGUGGAGUAGGUAGAUUGAGUAGUAGAUUGAUUGAUUAGUGGAGUAGGUAGAUUGAGUAGUAGAUUGAUUAAUUGAUUAGUGGAGUAGGAGAGUGAUAGAUUAGUAGGUAGAUUGAGUAGUAGAUUGCUUAUUGUAGUAGGAGAGAUUGAUUAGGACAGUGAGUAGUAGAUUGAUUGAUUAGUAGGUAGAUUGAUUAGUGUAGUAGGAGAGUAGUUGAUUAGUAGGUAGACUGAGUAGUAGAUUGAUUGAUUGAUUAGUGGAGUAGGAGAGUGAUAGAUUAGUAGGUAGAUUGAGUAGUAGAUUGAUUGAUUGAUUAGUGGAGUAGGAGAGUGAUAGAUUAGUAGAUUAGUAGGUAGAUUGAGUAGUAGAUUGAUAGAUUAGUAGGUAGAUUGAUUGAUUGAUUAGUGGAGUAGGAGAGUGAUAGAUUAGUAGAUUGAGUGAUUGAUUGAUUGAUUAGUGGAGUAGGAGAGUGAUAGAUUAGUAGGUAGAUUGAGUAGUAGAUUGAUUGAUUGAUUAGUGGAGUAGGAGAGUGAUAGAUUAGUAGAUUGAUUGAUUGAUUAGUGGAGUAGGAGAGUGAUAGAUUAGUAGAUUGAUAGAUAGAUUAGUAGGUAGAUUGAUUGAUUGAUUAGUGGAGUAGGAGAGUGAUAGAUUAGUAGAUUAAUUGAUUGAUUAGUGGAGUAGGAGAGUGAUAGAUUAGUAGGUAGAUUGAGUAGUAGAUUGAUUGAUUGAUUAGUGGAGUAGGAGAGUGAUAGAUUGAGUAGUAGAUUGAUUGAUUGAUUAGUGGAGUA
This is a long non-coding RNA of Lates calcarifer (barramundi perch), 1995 nucleotides long. RefSeq lists it as uncharacterized. The record is from RefSeq and is a predicted model, not a curated record. The transcript has 9 exons. NCBI's taxonomy places the organism in Eukaryota, Metazoa, Chordata, Actinopteri, Centropomidae.